RNAcentral lists this ribosomal RNA (407 nucleotides) under uncultured bacterium. RNAcentral describes it as "bacterial SSU rRNA". It matches the Rfam family "Bacterial small subunit ribosomal RNA", at positions 355 to 774 of the family's 1533-position model. The record is from RNAcentral.
UGGGGAAUAUUGCACAAUGGGCGCAAGCCUGAUGCAGCGACGCCGCGUGAGGGAUGACGGCCUUCGGGUUGUAAACCUCUUUCAGCAGGGAAGAAGCGCAAGUGACGGUACCUGCAGAAGAAGCGCCGGCUAACUACGUGCCAGCAGCCGCGGUAAUACGUAGGGCGCAAGCGUUGUCCGGAAUUAUUGGGCGUAAAGAGCUCGUAGGCGGUUUGUCGCGUCUGCUGUGAAAACGCGAGGCUCAACCUCGCGCCUGCAGUGGGUACGGGCAUACUAGAGUGCGGUAGGGGAGACUGGAAUUCCUGGUGUAGCGGUGGAAUGCGCAGAUAUCAGGAGGAACACCGGUGGCGAAGGCGGGUCUCUGGGCCGUAACUGACGCUGAGGAGCGAAAGCAUGGGGAGCGAACA